RNAcentral lists this ribosomal RNA (440 nucleotides) under uncultured bacterium. Its description in RNAcentral is "partial 16S ribosomal RNA". It matches the Rfam family "Bacterial small subunit ribosomal RNA", at positions 338 to 795 of the family's 1533-position model. The record is from RNAcentral.
ACUACGGGAGGCAGCAGUGGGGAAUAUUGGACAAUGGGGGAAACCCUGAUGCAGCGACGCCGCGUGAGUGAAGAAGUAUCUCGGUACGUAAAGCUCUAUCAGCAGGGAAGAAAAUGACGGUACCUGACUAAGAAGCCCCGGCUAACUACGUGCCAGCAGCCGCGGUAAUACGUAGGGGGCAAGCGUUAUCCGGAUUUACUGGGUGUAAAGGGAGCGUAGACGGCAGCACAAGUCUGGAGUGAAAUCCCGGGGCUUAACCCCGGAACUGCUUUGGAAACUGUUAAGCUCGAGACCGUUAGGGGUAACUGGAAUUUCUAGUGUAGGAGUGAAAUCCGUAGAUAUUAGAAGGAACACCAAUAGCGUAGGCAGGUUACUGGGACGGUUCUGACACUAAGGCACGAAAGCGUAGGGAGCAAACGGGAUUAGAUACCCUUGUAGUC